UUUGUGUUUUGUUUUUUUUUUCUUUUUUUGUGGUCUCCUCUACCAUUUUCCGUUGAGUGUCAACUACUUGCUAGAUCGAUGAUGGACAGGAAAGAAAGGAGGAAGGAAGGUC
This 112-nucleotide non-coding RNA is filed under the name Chromera velia. The record is from RNAcentral. Lineage: Eukaryota; Chromeraceae.